Molecule: non-coding RNA, 67 nt
Organism: Potamilus streckersoni
Lineage: Eukaryota; Metazoa; Mollusca; Bivalvia; Unionida; Unionidae
Source: the annotation of a GenBank genome assembly
GUGGCUUAGUGGUUAGAGUGUCCAUUUCGGAUGCAGAAGGUUGCUGGUUCAAACCCUGGCAGAGUCA